UGCCCAGCAAUUCCUAUCCCUACCUCCUCGUGGUACUGGCCGGGGUACGAGUAACCUUGGGGAAGAUCGGGUAACCAACCCCCGGUGGGAACUUUGGUCGUAUGCUGACAGGGAAGG
RNAcentral lists this ribozyme (117 nucleotides) under Aedes aegypti (yellow fever mosquito). Its description in RNAcentral is "drz-agam-1 ribozyme". It matches the Rfam family "drz-agam-1 ribozyme". The record is from Rfam by way of RNAcentral. Lineage: Eukaryota; Metazoa; Arthropoda; Insecta; Diptera; Culicidae.